This 465-nucleotide ribosomal RNA is filed under the name uncultured bacterium. Its description in RNAcentral is "partial 16S ribosomal RNA". It matches the Rfam family "Bacterial small subunit ribosomal RNA", at positions 338 to 795 of the family's 1533-position model. The record is from RNAcentral.
CCUACGGGGUGCAGCAGUGGGGAAUAUUGCGCAAUGGGCGAAAGCCUGACGCAGCGACGCCGCGUGAGGGAUGAAGGUCUUCGGAUCGUAAACCUCUGUCAGCAGGGAAGAACGGUCACUGUGCUAAUCAGCAGUGAAUUGACGUUACCUGCAAAGGAAGCACCGGCUAACUCCGUGCCCGCAGCCGCGGUAAUCCGGAGGGUGCGAGCGUUAAUCGGAAUUACUGGGCGUAAAGCGCUCGUAGGCGGUAUGUCAAGUCAAGGGUGAAAUCCCCGCGCGCAACGUGGGAACUGCCUUUGAAACUGGCAAACUGGAGUGUGUGAGAGGAUAGUGGAAUUCCAGGUGUAGGAGUGAAAUCCGUAGAUAUCUGGAGGAACAUCAGUGGCGAAGGCGACUAUCUGGCACAUAACUGACGCUGAGGAGCGAAAGCGUGGGUAGCAAACAGGAUUAGAGACCCUUGUAGUC